CGCACAUUGCGCCCCUUGGUAUUCCAUGGGGCAUGCCUGUUCGAGCGUCGCUUCGCCAUUCAAGCUGCCCGUUCAGCUUGGAUCUGGGCGCCUGUCUCCCUGUGGAGACUCGCCUUAAAACUGUUGGCAGGCCGUGUAUAGAGUCGAGAGCGCAGCAGAAGCACGCCUCGUCUCGGUGCCGGGCUCCCAGAAGCACACGCACUUCGACCUCGGAUCAGGUAGGAAUACCCGCUGAACUUAA
Molecule: unclassified non-coding RNA, 241 nt
Filed under: Ascomycota sp.
Lineage: Eukaryota; Fungi; Ascomycota
Description: partial contains 5.8S ribosomal RNA, internal transcribed spacer 2, and large subunit ribosomal RNA
Source: RNAcentral